This is a long non-coding RNA of Cervus elaphus (red deer), 544 nucleotides long. RefSeq lists it as uncharacterized. The transcript has 3 exons. The record is from RefSeq and is a predicted model, not a curated record. NCBI's taxonomy places the organism in Eukaryota, Metazoa, Chordata, Mammalia, Artiodactyla, Cervidae.
AGCCCCGCCCUUUGGCCGGCGGUCCGAGCAGUGACCGGCUCCGACCCCCGCCUGGGGGCAGCAGAGCGAGCUGGGGGACUUCGGAAGACGCGCAGUUCUGGUUUGGAUAACGGGGUAGAUGGAGGCUCCUGUGGUCCCUUAACGGUCGGCUUCGUCUUUGCAUCGAGGGCGCUCUAAAGCAGGGCCCUGGGACCUUGCUGACCCCGGGGCACCUAUCGCAGGGCCGGGAACGCGGACGGGCCCAUAGGUAUUUACUGCUGUGGCCGGAGCCCUCCUGUGAUGUGAACGCCCUCUGGACCCACGGCGUGGAGGAUGUACCCUGUGUGUGGGGCUCGCUUUCUUACACACUUACCACUUCUGAUGAAGACUUAAGACACAGGGGAUGAGGUCUUCACAGGAGAAGCCGGAAAGAGAAGCAUGCUGCUUUGUCUCCCCCUCCCUCCCCCGGACCCGAGCACCAGCUCCCGACUCCCGGAGACCCUUGCCCGCGGGCUCAGCCCAGCUCUGAGAGGCGAGCGGGAAGGACCGGCCGCUUACUCUGCCC